UGAUCCUGGCUCAGGAUGAACGCUAGCGCAGGCUUAACACAUGCAAGUCGAGGGGUAACAUUGUAGCUUGCUACAGAUGACGACCGGCGCACGGGUGCGUAACGCGUAUAGAACUUACCUUUUACAGAGGGAUAGCCUUUAGAAAUGAAGAUUAAUACCUCAUAGUAUUAUUGAUUGGCAUCAAUUAAUAAUUAAAGAUUUAUCGGUAAAAGAUGGCUAUGCGUCCUAUUAGCUAGAUGGUAAGGUAAUGGCUUACCAUGGCUACGAUAGGUAGGGGCCCUGAGAGGGGGAUCCCCCACACUGGUACUGAGACACGGACCAGACUCCUACGGGAGGCAGCAGUGAGGAAUAUUGGGCAAUGGAGGUAACUCUGACCCAGCCAUGCCGCGUGCAGGAAGACUGCCCUAUGGGUUGUAAACUGCUUUUAUACAGGAAGAAACACUCGUACGUGUACGAGCUUGACGGUACUGUAAGAAUAAGGACCGGCUAACUCCGUGCCAGCAGCCGCGGUAAUACGGAGGGUCCGAGCGUUAUCCGGAAUCAUUGGGUUUAAAGGGUCCGCAGGCGGUCAAUUAAGUCAGAGGUGAAAUCCCAUAGCUUAACUAUGGAACUGCCUUUGAUACUGGUUGACUUGAGUCAUAUGGAAGUAGAUAGAAUGUGUAGUGUAGCGGUGAAAUGCAUAGAUAUUACACAGAAUACCGAUUGCGAAGGCAGUCUACUACGUAUGUACUGACGCUCAUGGACGAAAGCGUGGGGAGCGAACAGGAUUAGAUACCCUGGUAGU
Molecule: ribosomal RNA, 784 nt
Filed under: uncultured marine bacterium
Lineage: Bacteria
Description: bacterial SSU rRNA
Rfam family: Bacterial small subunit ribosomal RNA
Source: RNAcentral